CCGCAACAUCAAGAGAAGAGCAACGCUCUCGCCAACCUGCUUUCGGGUAAGGUGGCCUCCGACUCCCAGUCGGGAUGUGCCUAUUAUGAGAAUAGGAAUCAUCAGAGAUUGC
This is a regulatory RNA element of 112 nucleotides. It matches the Rfam family "SAM-I/IV (S-adenosyl methionine) riboswitch aptamer". From Rfam's summary of the family: It is found upstream of a number of genes which code for proteins involved in methionine or cysteine biosynthesis. It has been found mostly in the order Actinomycetales. The record is from Rfam.